CUUAGUUAGGUUUAGGCAGCACAACUACUUAGUUAGGUUUAGAAAACACGGUUUGGGUUAAAAUAACUCCGGAAGUGGCGUAACUUAAGUAGCGAAGUUACAUGACAAAUCAACGUUGACUUCAGGUUUCACGUGGGGUACAAACACCGGCCUAUUGGGGAAAUUCCUGUGAUUUUUGACCCACCCAUCCACCCCGUUCCCUCCCUGCGCGGCAGUUGUCGCUCUUUAUACUUCGUGGUUCACAAUUACGUGGAUUACAUACAAAUUGAUCUUGUGGGAUAUAUAUAUACGAAUUACAGUGCAUUACUUUUCGUAGGUAUAGCUACGAAGGGUGUAUGAGAACAGCCUCAUGUAGUAUAAGCUGACCAAAUGUCUGUUUCUGUCCCGUAGGUGGCCAUAAAGCGUAUCCGCCGGUUUCUUUGCACAACAGUGGAUCUGGAAGGGGAAAUUACAGCGAUCCCUAUAGAGGUGGCGCUGCUGCUGCACCUCAAACCAGCAGCAGCAGGAACCAGUGCCGUGGUGAGCCUGCUGGACUGGUACAAUCUGGACAAUGAGCUGAUUCUCGUCCUAUAGAGACCUGUCCCCUGCAUGGAUCUCUAUGACUAUUUGGUGUCCAUACAGUUAUCAAUACAGGAGGACAUGGGCCGGAUCAUAACAAAACAACUGGUGGAAGGUCUCCAAGAGGUCCACUCCAGAGGUGUUUUCCACAGGGACAUCAAGAUGGAAAACAGAGAUGCUGCAUGAUGGGCAAACCCCGUGAGAUCAUCAAAGCAGUCCCUGACAUCUGUGACACUCUUUCCUACAAUUGCCAAGAUUUUCUAGCGCGCUGUAUGGACAAGAGCCCAGAGGCCCGACCCACCCUGGAGACUCUUAAGCACCACCCCUGGCUCGUGUGAUCUGUGGUCCUGAGGGAUCCAGUCUGAUGUGAUACAGAUUGGACCUCUCGGACCACGGAUGGAUCCCUGAAGACCACGGAAGGACCCCUCAAGACCAUGGAAGGACCCCUCAGGAUCACGGAAGGACCUCGUCCAGGGUUAACGCUGCUGUAGUCCCCAUAUGUGGCUCCCAUUGCACUCUCUCUUGAAGCAGUAGAAAUCAGACCGAGAGGCUGGUGGCGUCGAUCUCUUGUAGGGAUGUGACGGGGAGGAAAAUUUCUUGUGACAACAUGGGUGUUACCGAUUACACCGGAGAUUUUACAGGAAAAGAUGACGGUCAUUAUGUGUAGCCGCUUACUAUGAUCUUUACCUUCAGGUGGCUGAGUGACUAGCCUCUCCGGUAGAACUUUUGCUGCGGAGCCGCUGGGGCGACCCGGCGCCGCUCCGCCGCGCACACCAGCUGUGACCGCUCCGUCCUCCUCUUAGCAUUGGGUUUAAAUCUGAAAUUUAAACCGCGUUUGCUUUCCUCUGCCAUCUCUCGGUCUUUCAACUCUCUCCUGUCCCGUGUGUGUGAAAUCUGACUCCUGCUACUCUGUGCUGAAAAUCUGUAUGGAGCAGAUGCAUCGAUCGUCCGACUAUCUAUUGACAACCUGCCGCUGCAGGUGUGGGUGGCGGGUAUGUAAUGUAAUGUGCCCGACCACCGUGUAACACUGGUAAAACGGACUACCGCGACAAGCCAUAGUGAUUAUAGGCCUACGUUCAUGCUUCAAACACCCAGCUGUCCGUGGAGAGGGGAUCUCUCUUUGAAUUGCCUUUUCCGAGGUUUCUUACCGAGUUUUUCCUCGUUUUCUUAGAGCUGGAGCUGGGUUGAGAGUGCACGGGAUAAUGUACAGCGAGCCGGUCAUUGUUGUCCCGCUAGCUGUACAUUAUCCCGCUUAUUACACGGCUACUUACUUAAGAAAUCACUAAUUUGAGACAAAAAUGGUCCUCCAGAGUCCGACAUC
Molecule: long non-coding RNA, 1879 nt
Organism: Sebastes umbrosus (honeycomb rockfish)
Lineage: Eukaryota; Metazoa; Chordata; Actinopteri; Perciformes; Sebastidae
Exons: 4
Source: RefSeq, a predicted model, not a curated record